AGGUGGAAUUGCUGACUCUUCUUUUUUUAUUAAUAGCCUUUUAGCACUUACUUCCAAAGCUUCUUUAUCCAUGGUGUUCAGAGCAAUUUAUUCACUAAAAUAACUCAACUUCUUAACUGCAUAAACUACCUUACCCAAAGAGAAACUUUCCAUUUCCAAAAUCCAAAAUCCAAACUUUUUUCUUCCUAAAAAUACAUAUAUUUUCCCCUGUUUCUUGAUGAUGAAUCAAUUGUAUUCUGUUAAAGAGGAGUUCCCGGGGUCAAGUUCUGGUGGCAAGCCCCCACCGCCGACACCACAACCAAUGGAAGGGCUUCAUGACAUUGGUCCACCACCAUUCCUUACAAAGACAUAUGAAAUGGUGGAUGAUUCAACUAUAGAUCAUGUUGUUUCUUGGAACAGAGGAGGUCAAAGCUUCGUAGUCUGGGAUCCUCAUGCCUUUUCAACUACACUACUUCCCAGAUUCUUCAAACAUAAUAAUUUCUCGAGCUUUGUCAGACAGCAAAAUACGUAUUAUUGGACAAUAUGUGGACUCCCAAAUUGAGAUUUGAGAAGAAAGAGCACCAAGCUAAUCUAAGUACUAUUACUUAUAUGUGUAAUAUUGUAAACAUAUUUUCCUUCCUAGCUACGUACUCUUGUUUUUGCUUAAGUAUUGUAUCUUUUGACUUAAUUUUGUGUGAAGAAGAGUGUAUGAUCAGUGCUAUAUAUAUGAAAUAAAACAAAUAUUAUUAGUAA
Solanum tuberosum (potato) is the source of this 732-nucleotide RNA transcript. It is a transcript of the gene named heat stress transcription factor A-7a-like, with no coding region annotated. NCBI's taxonomy places the organism in Eukaryota, Viridiplantae, Streptophyta, Magnoliopsida, Solanales, Solanaceae. The transcript is spliced from 2 exons. The record is from RefSeq and is a predicted model, not a curated record.